This 401-nucleotide unclassified non-coding RNA is filed under the name soil metagenome. RNAcentral's name for it is "partial contains 5.8S ribosomal RNA, internal transcribed spacer 2, and large subunit ribosomal RNA". The stretch from base 2 to 121 matches the Rfam family "5.8S ribosomal RNA", at positions 35 to 154 of the family's 154-position model. The record is from RNAcentral.
GGAUGAAGAACGUAGCGAAAUGCGAUACUUGGUGUGAAUUGCAGAAUCCCGUGAACCAUCGAGUCUUUGAACGCAAGUUGCGCCCGAAGCCUCGGCUAAGGGCACGUCUGCCUGGGCGUCACGCAUCGCGUCUCCCCCAAACCGCCAAGGCGGAGGGGAAGGAAGAUGGCUUCCCGUGCCUCACCCGGGCGCGGUUGGCCUAAAUUUGGAGCCCGCGGCACUUAGCUCUCGCGGCGAUAGGUGGUGAACAAGGCCUUGGCCGUGCAAACAACCCGCUGCGAAGCUCUAUGUCACGUGCGCUCGUCGGACCCUUUGAAGUUGCCUUCGGUGACUUAAAACCUUUGCGACCCCAGGUCAGGCGGGGCUACCCGCUGAAUUUAAGCAUAUCAAUAAGCGGAGGA